AGAGUUUGAUCCUGGCUCAGAUUGAACGCUGGCGGCAGGCUUAACACAUGCAAGUCGAACGGUAACAGAAAGUAGCUUGCUACUUUGCUGACGAGUGGCGGACGGGUGAGUAAUGCUUGGGAAUAUGCCUUAUGGUGGGGGACAACAGUUGGAAACGACUGCUAAUACCGCAUAACAUCUCCGGAUCAAAGUGGGGGACCUUCGGGCCUCACGCCAUAAGAGUAGCCCAAGUGGGAUUAGCUAGUUGGUAAGGUAAUGGCUUACCAAGGCGACGAUCCCUAGUUGGUCUUAGAGGAUGACCAGCCACACUGGAACUGAGACACGGUCCAGACUCCUACGGGAGGCAGCAGUGGGGAAUAUUGCACAAUGGGCGCAAGCCUGAUGCAGCCAUGCCGCGUGUGUGAAGAAGGCUUUCGGGUUGUAAAGCACUUUCAGCGAGGAGGAAAGGGUAUUGCUUAAUAGGCAAUAUCUGUGAAGUUACUCGCAGAAGAUGCACCGGCUAACUCCGUGCUAGCAGCCGCGGUAAUACGGAGGGUGCGAGCGUUAAUCGGAAUUACUGGGCGUAAAGCGCGCGUAGGUGGUUAAUUAAGUCAGAUGUAAAAUCCCAGGGCUCAACCUUGGAACUGCAUUUGAAACUGGUUAACUAGAGUUUUGUAGAGGGUGGUAGAAUUUCAGGUGUACCUGAAAUGCGUAGAGAUCUGAAGGAAUACCAGUGGCGAAGGCGGCCACCUGGACAAAGACUGACACUGAGGCGCGAAGGCGUGGGGAGCAAACGGGAUUAGAUACCCGGGUAGUCCACGCAGUAAACGAUGUCUAUUAGAAUUUUGUGGCUAUAUGCCGUGGGAUUCAAAGCUAACGCAUUAAAUAGACCGCCUGGGGAGUACGGCCGCAAGGUUAAAACUCAAAUGAAUUGACGGGGGCCCGCACAAGCGGUGGAGCAUGUGGUUUAAUUCGAUGCAACGCGAAGAACCUUACCAUCCCU
RNAcentral lists this ribosomal RNA (982 nucleotides) under uncultured bacterium. Its description in RNAcentral is "bacterial SSU rRNA". It matches the Rfam family "Bacterial small subunit ribosomal RNA", at positions 8 to 981 of the family's 1533-position model. The record is from RNAcentral.